AUGACUUUCAUCAUCAUCUUCAUCUGGACACUCACAGUCUUUACUCAAGUGUGUAGAGGACAGUACACUCUUACUCAGAGUCCAUCAAUAACAGCAGUUCAACCAGGACAACAAGUUAAAAUAAACUGUAAAGUCAGCAGUGCAGUGCAUAGUGGUAUUUGUUUAGCCUGGUACUUACAGAAACUCCUCAUAUAUUAUGCAACAACCCUCUACACAGGAACCCCAUCAAGAUUCAGUGGCAGCGGAUCAAACACAGAUUUCACUUUGACCAUCAGUGGAGUUCAGACUGAAGAUCCAGGAGAUUAUUACUGUCAGAGUUAUCACAGUGGUUAUGUGUUGACACAGUGA
Non-coding RNA from Paramisgurnus dabryanus, 348 nucleotides. The record is from the annotation of a RefSeq genome assembly. Lineage: Eukaryota; Metazoa; Chordata; Actinopteri; Cypriniformes; Cobitidae.